AGAAAAUCUCCCUUGCAGAUGGACAACCCUAACUCGAAAAUUCCAAGUUACACUCUUAAUUCAACACGUCCAAACAUCACAUAAUUAACUUUCAGAAAUUCUACACAUAAUAUACAAUAAUCCCAAAGUAUUCAGAGCUACUAAACACUAGCGGAAGCAAGAAAACACGAGUAGGUUGAACAUGUAACCUACUGACGAAAACUGGCAGAAAUGCGGGUGACUAUGCCUCGCCUCCUACUAGAUCCAACCCGAAUUCUGCAGACUGGGCAAUUUAAAACGAAGGGCCCAGGGGAAAACAUUUAAUAACGUUAGAGUGAGUGGACAAAAAUAAAAUAAUAAAUAAAAUAUUUAUGUUUCCCCAAAUUAAUUUCUAAGGAAAAAUCGAAUGCAUGCCGCAAGCGAUAAAACUUUUAUCUCAUAAAAGAUCGAGCCUCUCAGACUCUAUAAUAUAUGUAUGUAUUUAUACUCGUCCAUACUCCCUAUAUAAAUUCAUGGGUCUAUAUAGGGCUACUACGCUCGCGUCCAACGCUCACGUCACGCCUUAAUGUGGUGCUACACUACGCCAUCAAGGUGGACAGACGGGUGUAUAAAUAUGUGUCCAUACCCCCUAUAUGAAUUAAACACUCAAAUAGGGCUACUACGCUUACGUCCAACGCUCACGUCACAUCAUAAUGCGGCUAUAUGCUACGCCAUUAAGGUGGACAGACACAUAUGGCUAGCUAGCAUUUCCUAUACAUACUCUCUCAUAAUUUCAUAUUUAUAUUCACCGAAAAUCUCAUUUUCGGUAACUCUCUAAGAGAAAUAAAAGCGUCAAAAUUAAUUGACGUCAAAAACUCCAACAAAAGGAAAUGUUCAAUCAUGAACCAUAGCAUGCAUAUUAUUUCAAAUAAAAGUCCACUCACAAAUUAGGCCUAAGCCUGAUGUCGAUCUGGGGUCUCGUCUGCUCGAGCCUCCUCACGUCCUGUUCCAAAUAUAAUAUUAAUUCCCAACCAAAUAAUCCAAUAUUUAAUCAAAAUAGGCAAAAUUACCCGAGAGCCAUAAUUACGCUCAUCAUUGCCUAACUUCGAUAUUCUUACAUCGGAACGAUCCGAACUUAAAUAUCAUAUUCAACAGUCGUAAAUACAA
This 1125-nucleotide long non-coding RNA is filed under the name Fragaria vesca (wild strawberry). RNAcentral describes it as "long non-coding RNA (FVES_LNC005241)". Lineage: Eukaryota; Viridiplantae; Streptophyta; Magnoliopsida; Rosales; Rosaceae. The record is from RNAcentral.